AAUAUUGCACAAUGGGCGCAAGCCUGAUGCAGCCAUGCCGCGUGUGUGAAGAAGGCCUUCGGGUUGUAAAGUACUUUCAGCAGUGAGGAAGGUGGUGCAGUUAAUAGCUGUAUCAUUUGACGUUAGCUGCAGAAGAAGCACCGGCUAACUCCGUGCCAGCAGCCGCGGUAAUACGGAGGGUGCGAGCGUUAAUCGGAAUUACUGGGCGUAAAGCGCAUGCAGGUGGUUUGUUAAGUCAGAUGUGAAAGCCCCGGGGCUCAACCUCGGAAUUGCAUUUGAAACUGGCAGACUAGAGUACUGUAGAGGGGGUAGAAUUUCAGGUGUAGCGGUGAAAUGCGUAGAGAUCUGAAGGAAUACCGGUGGCGAAGGCGGCCCCCUGGACAGAUACUGACACUCAGAUGCGAAAGCGUGGGGAGCAAACAGGAUUAGACACCCUGGUAG
This 441-nucleotide ribosomal RNA is filed under the name uncultured bacterium. RNAcentral describes it as "bacterial SSU rRNA". It matches the Rfam family "Bacterial small subunit ribosomal RNA", at positions 360 to 793 of the family's 1533-position model. The record is from RNAcentral.